CCCUUAGAUGUUCUGGGCCGCACGCGUGCUACACUGAGUGGAUCAGCGGGUCAGGUUGCGCGAAAGUGUUUCCUAAUCUUUAAAUCCGCUCGUGAUGGGGAUUGACGGUUGCAAUUUUCCGUCAUGAACGAGGAAUACCUUGUAAGCGCGGGUCAUCAUCCCGCGCUGAAUACGUCCCUGCCCUUUGUACACACCGCCCGUCACUCCUACCGAUUGAGUGGUCCGGUGAGGCUUUGGGAUCUGAGCGGAAAGAGCGUUUCGCUGUUUCUGCCCGGAAAACUCAGUCGAACCUUAUCAUUUAGAGGAAGGAGAAGUCGUAACA
This 322-nucleotide ribosomal RNA is filed under the name uncultured eukaryote. Its description in RNAcentral is "partial 18S ribosomal RNA". It matches the Rfam family "Eukaryotic small subunit ribosomal RNA", at positions 1470 to 1796 of the family's 1831-position model. The record is from RNAcentral.